AUUGAACGCUGGCGGCAUGCUUUACACAUGCAAGUCGAACGGUAACAGGUUAAGCUGACGAGUGGCGAACGGGUGAGUAAUGCAUCGGAACGUGCCCGGUCGUGGGGGAUAACGCAGCGAAAGCUGCGCUAAUACCGCAUACGAUCUGAGGAUGAAAGCGGGGGACCGUAAGGCCUCGCGCGAUCGGAGCGGCCGAUGUCAGAUAGGUAGUUGGUGGGGUAAAGGCUCACCAAGCCAACGAUCUGUAGCUGGUCUGAGAGGACGACCAGCCACACUGGGACUGAGACACGGCCGAGACUCCUACGGGAGGCAGCAGUGGGGAAUUUUGGACAAUGGGCGAAAGCCUGAUCCAGCAAUGCCGCGUGCAGGAAGAAGGCCUUCGGGUUGUAAACUGCUUUUGUACGGAGCGAAAAGGUCUCCUCUAAUACAGGGGGCUCAUGACGGUACCGUAAGAAUAAGCACCGGCUAACUACGUGCCAGCAGCCGCCGUAA
Molecule: ribosomal RNA, 492 nt
Filed under: uncultured bacterium
Lineage: Bacteria
Description: partial 16S ribosomal RNA
Rfam family: Bacterial small subunit ribosomal RNA
Source: RNAcentral